UACGGAGGGGGCGAGCGUUAUUCGGAAUUAUUGGGCGUAAAGGGCGCGUAGGCGGCUCGAUAAGUCAAAGGUGAAAUCCCUCGGCUCAACUGAGGAACUGCCUUUGAAACCGUCGAGCUCGAGUCCGGGAGGGGGUAGCGGAAUUCCCAGUGUAGCGGUGAAAUGCGUAGAUAUUGGGAGGAACACCAGUGGCGAAGGCGGCUACCUGGACCGGUUCUGACGCUGAUGCGCGAAAGCGUGGGUAGCAAACAGG
Molecule: ribosomal RNA, 253 nt
Filed under: uncultured bacterium
Lineage: Bacteria
Description: partial 16S ribosomal RNA
Rfam family: Bacterial small subunit ribosomal RNA
Source: RNAcentral